GCCAAAGCGAGAGGCCCUGUCUUCUCUCUCUAGAUUUUGCACGGCAAACCGCCGCCCGUGUAGAGGUGUGUGCGUUUGACGAAAAUUUAUAGAUGAAAUACGGGGGAAGCGGGGUUUGAAGUCUUUCGUUCGUCACACACACAUGCAUUUACCAGCGGAUAUCGCUGCACCGAGUAUAGCCAUCUCUCUCGAUCCACCAUGAUUUUUCUGCUAUCGCGCUCAUCCGGGUGUUAGGCAUCCUCAGUGUGUCCAGAUCUUUCCCUAUGGAAGGAUGUAUUGAAGUGAGGUGCGAUUUCUUGUGCGACGUACUUUGCUCGUCUACGUUUUGGGCAGCGUUCCUUCUUCUUCAGUUAUGGAAUGAUUUAUCCUAGCAAAUUGUUGAGUUACAGGUGUGCGCGCUAUUUAUCAACGACUACCUGCUAGCCUCGUCAACAAACUUCAAAGUGAGCGACGCAAAGAAAACGUUUUCCAGUUUUAAAAUAUUAAGCUCCCUGUGAGGACGUCAUUACUUAACAGAAGCCGGUUCAACACGCGCAGCUCCUGUUCAUGACGUCAUCACUAAACUGAAGCCAGCU
Long non-coding RNA from Anopheles merus, 575 nucleotides. RefSeq lists it as uncharacterized. NCBI's taxonomy places the organism in Eukaryota, Metazoa, Arthropoda, Insecta, Diptera, Culicidae. The record is from RefSeq and is a predicted model, not a curated record. The transcript is spliced from 3 exons.